UCUCUCUCUCUCUCUCUUUCCUGCUCCGCCGCGGUGAGACGUACUUGCUUCUCCUCACCUUCUACCGUGAUUCUGGACUAGACAGAAGACUACAGUUCAAUAAGAAGGAAACACAUUCAUUUUCAGUAUUGUUAAUAAAGAAGCUUACCUAAAAGAAGGAAAUCAAAACAAGAUAAUCUACACUGCAACUAGGGGAGGCUAUUGAAUGUGAUGGUCCCCUCAGAUGCCUAGAGGAAGAUGAACAAUGGUAAUCAGAUAUCCUAAAGUUAUCUUUAGGGCACUGGCAAAAUAGCAGCAAUGCCUGGUGGAAGCUGACUUUGUGCAUACACAUGAGAGCCCACAGAAAACUUCAAACUUCAUGGAAAUAAAACCUUCAGCUGCAGCUAAGAAUUUGGAGGUUACUGAAGGAGGUUACUUUUUCAAGAGCAGAAGUAAGGAUUCCACUGAAUUUGCUCACCAAAGAUAAGUCAGCAAAGAAAACUUACUGAAGAAUACAGGUUGUCUACUGUGUUUUUCUUAUUUUUUUUGUGGAGGUUAUUUGAUCAUGUUUAUUUGAAAAUUGACCCCUAUAUGACAACCCAUUCUGUUGAGUUUAUUGUUAAAAGAGCAGGAAUGAUUAAUGACUAUAGUGAAAUUAUGGAUUCCUAUUGUUGCUAAGCUAAUAUUGUAAGAACCAGCUAAAUCUUAUAAUGUAUGAUACAUUUACGUGUGGCAUUCUUUGGUAUAGAAAUGAUUGUGUAAAUGCUGACGCUAUGGGGUUUACCUUCUGCCUAAAUCAACAUCAGUGCUAAAAAUACAUAUAAAUAAGGUGAAUAUUUUGAAUUUAUUUAAGGCCCUUCUCCAAAAAAGAAUAAUAAUUUAAAUUUUUUUGUAGAACUAUGAGAAAAGCUAACUAAUUUGCAUAAACUGAGGAGCACAAUUGGAAAUAGAGCAAAAUUAUUUAUUAUUUUUAAGUGAAUGCAAGUUUAUUAAGAAAGUAAAGGAAUAAAAGAAUGGCUACUCCAUAGGCAGAGCAGCAAAAAUUAUUGAAUUUUUAAGUGAAUAUAAUCAUAUUGCUUUGACUUAUUGUCAUCUAUUUAUAAGAAAUAGCUAUUCCACAAUCUUCUUAAUGUUUAAAUAUUUUGUAAUAAACAUAUUAAUAUUGUAUAUUAUAUGUUAUUCAUAUAUAUUAAUAAUAACUAAUAAAUAUAUAUUUCUUAUGAUGUACCUGAUAUUGGAGUAAGUAUUGAGCCUGUGAGGUGAGUAACAUUAUUAUGUGAUUUAACAAAUGAGGAAACUAAAGUCCUUAAAAAUGGUGGCUUUUGUUGACAUAUGUUGUUUUGAAUGCUUUCCUUCCUGUUCCCCAUGAUUUGGCAGGAGUUCCUUGGGAAACGACUCCUCCACUGAAUGCAAUCAAGUUAAAACUAUCAAGCCAUAUACUUUUCUGCCUUCUACAAGAAUAAAUGAUGGUCAAAUGUUCUUUCUUUCAGGAACAUAAAUCUUAAGCAGGCUUACAUAAGGAAGGGAAGUGGUUGAAUCUGAGGUAAUUCCAUGGUGGACUUUGAAGAAAGCCUUCCAUGAGUUCCCAGUCCAUAUCCUCCAAAAGACAGCAUAUCAGCUCCUGCUUUCCAGACAAACUUCCUGGGUCUUGGGAAGAAGAAAGCCUCAGACUAAGAACUCUCUCUGGACUCAGACAGCCUGAAUUCAAAUCCCAUCUCUAUUCUUACUAGUCAUAUGAACACAGGAGAACCAUAUCCAUUCAGCUCACUUUGGACCACCUGUGGAGCCUGAUAACCAGGGAACAGAGAACCUGUUGAGAUCCAAAUUUGUGUGCCAGAUCACAAACUCAUCUGAAGCAGAUGCCACGUGUUACACUGUUAUGUCUCUCAGAGACUCCAGCACUUUGAAAGUAUUAGGCCUUGCUUAUUGAGAUGAAUAUUUUUUUCUAGGCAUGUCCCAAAGUUCUCAGCAUAGCUACAACCCUGAUUUUCACAGGAUUUUCAUUAAAAUUAGGUUCUAGAGCAUUACUUCCCUAAUGUGCAAUGCAACUUACGUUUAGUUUUCAAAUCAAAAUUAGUUUUGUUUUUCCACUGUCUUUGUCUUUGAAAAUAUUGAACUUGGGAUUUCCAAAAUUAUAAUUAGCAAUUAUUUUUACAUAUCUUUUAUAUACAUAACUUUUACAAUGGCUGCCAUUAUCAUGUAGGUUCUUAGGAAGUGUUUCUGAUCCUUGUAAAUAAAAGUGAAAGAAGAAAUCUUUACUGCUUGCUGACCCAUGUGACUAACCUUGAAAUCAGAGAGGCAGAUUCAUUUAAAACAAACUUGCAAACUGUUAAGCAAAGUACUGAAUCUCUGUGACUUGACCAAAAGUAAUUCAGACUUGACUAUUCCAGGCUCCCUUCUAUCUCUGUAGCAACCCAUGCAUCAUAGACUCCAGUUGCAAUGGAUGGUCAAGGAAUCUGCUGUGCCUUUUGAGUCUCUCCAUUUUAUAUUGCCAAAUUUAUCUUCCUUUAAUACUUCACUUCACAUAAGACACUAAGAUAAACAAGGAUGCAACUCACUUAUAUUUCAAAAUAGUACCUAGUGGUUAAAAGUACUUGUUCUGAAAGCAACUCUAUUUUUCUAGUUCUAACAUGUCUCCAACUAGUUAUCUCACCUUGAGCUUGGCACAUAAUCACUCCAUCUUACUUUUGCAUCUGUGACACAAGAAAAAUACCACCCACCUCAACAUAGAUCUUAUGAAGAUUAAAAUAAGAUUAUGAAAGUAAAAUGCUCAGCACAAUGUCUAAACGAAAAUAAAUGCUCAGCAAGUAGGAGCUACUAUAAUUAUUAUCCAGAUCAAAUAUUUUCUCCUCUAUGAAGCUUUCUUAUUCUUCCCCAGCUGGAAUUACUUAUUUUCUUCCUUGCUUUCUACACCACACUUUAGUCACCACCAUGCUGGCACUUGUCUCACCGCAUUAUAAUUAUUUAUGUGCCUGUGUUCCAUAACCAGAAUAUGGGACUUAAGCUUCUUUAUACCUCCAGCAUAAUUGUUUCAUGUGUGCUUUUAGGUAAUGGAGUAAAAUGGAUGAAUGAGUGAAUGCGACUAUAGUACUAAAUGCUCUUAGAUAAAGAUGUAAUUAUUCUUAAGUGAUAAAAUUAUUCGAACAUGAGUAGUUCAGAUAAUGAGAGACUGUCAUAGAAUUACUUGAUAAAAUCUAGUCAAUAAAAUGGCUUGGCAAUAUAACCUUUAUGAUUUCUUUAAACAAUCAUUCAUUUCUUUCUGAAGAUGAGAAGAGGAGAUUCCUUCUCCCAUCUUUAUAUUUCAACAAUGAUUAGAAAACAAAUUGAUCUCUGGGAUCAGUGCCCAAUACCAUUAAAGUGGUAUACAUCUUACAAUUCUUAAUUAAUUUGUGGCAUACAUAUACCAGUCUCCACAGCCAGCUUCAUCUGCAUACAGCAGCAUAAUCACUUUUUUCCUUAUAGUAAAGACAUAUUAUGAGUCAUCAAAGUCUUCUCCGGGGGUUGUGGUUAUCAUCUGGUAAUCACACCCUUGGGAGGUUAAAAACACUUAUCUUUGGAUCAUGACUUGCAAUGCCCCAGGGGUGUGAUUAUCUCAGGCAACUCACACUUUCUGUCAUGCCUAAUUGCUUAAUUAUUAUAGCUGCAAGUUCACACCACCAUACAGGAACUCAUGUUGUGUCAGCAUUUCCACUAUAAAUUCCUUUUUCAAGAGUCUAUAACUCAGCCAUAAAAAAAAAAAAAAAAAAAACCUAUGGUCCAUUGAAGCACUGCAGUAAGAGUCUUAUUCCAGGAAACAUUUCUGUAAUAGGUUAAUUGUAUCUUAAAAAUUGGGUCCUGAUUCUCAUAGUUAGUUCACCAAAGAAAUAAAUGCUAAUUAAAUGUCUCUAAAUUAUAUAUUUUUCUGUAUGGCUGGGUAAAUAAUGUAAAUCCUAAAGACAUAAAUAUUAUUUUUUAAAUAUAACAAGAAUGGCUCAUACAAUUUCCAGUUUUUUGGAAAUACACUUACACAUAUUUAUAAAAUAUUAUAUAAGUAGAAUGAGCUAAACCAUAGUUAGAGAACAUUGUCAUAUGCAAUCAUGUACUACAUAAUAUUUCAGUCAGUGGACAGCAUGUGGCAGUGGUCACAUAAGAUUAUAACGCAGCUGAAAAAUUCCUGUUGUCUAAUGACAUCAUGGCUGUCAUAACUGUCAUGGCCGUCAUGGCCAUCUGAACAUUGUAGUACAAUGUAUUCCUCAUGUGUUUGUGGUGAUGCUGAUGUAAACAAGCAUCUGCACUGCCAGUUGUAUAAAAGUGUAGCACAUACAAUUAUGUACAUACAAUUAUGCACACACAAUUAUGUACAACACAUAAUAUUUUAUAAUGACAAUAAACAAUUUUGUUACCGGUUUAUGUAUUCACUGUACUAUACCUUUCAUCAUUAUUUUAGAGUGUACUCUUUCUACUUAUAUAUAAAAA
This 4434-nucleotide long non-coding RNA is filed under the name Homo sapiens (human). Its description in RNAcentral is "HSALNT0352807". The record is from RNAcentral. Lineage: Eukaryota; Metazoa; Chordata; Mammalia; Primates; Hominidae.